CGUAACAAGGUCUCCGUAGGUGAACCUGCGGAGGGAUCAUUACACAAAUAUGAAGGCGGGCUGGAACCUCUCGGGGUUACAGCCUUGCUGAAUUAUUCACCCUUGUCUUUUGCGUACUUCUUGUUUCCUUGGUGGGUUCGCCCACCACUAGGACAAACAUAAACCUUUUGUAAUUGCAAUCAGCGUCAGUAACAAAUUAAUAAUUACAACUUUCAACAACGGAUCUCUUGGUUCUGGCAUCGAUGAAGAACGCAGCGAAAUGCGAUAAGUAGUGUGAAUUGCAGAAUUCAGUGAAUCAUCGAAUCUUUGAACGCACAUUGCGCCCUUUGGUAUUCCAAAGGGCAUGCCUGUUCGAGCGUCAUUUGUACCCUCAAGCUUUGCUUGGUGUUGGGCGUCUUGUCUCUAGCUUUGCUGGAGACUCGCCUUAAAGCAAUUGGCAGCCGGCCUACUGGUUUCGGAGCGCAGCACAAGUCGCACUCUCUAUCAGCAAAGGUCUAGCAUCCAUUAAGCCUUUUUUUCAACUUUUGACCUCGGAUCAGGUAGGGAUACCCGCUGAACUUAAGCAUAUCA
This 570-nucleotide ribosomal RNA is filed under the name uncultured fungus. Its description in RNAcentral is "eukaryotic LSU rRNA". The stretch from base 208 to 361 matches the Rfam family "5.8S ribosomal RNA". The record is from RNAcentral. Lineage: Eukaryota; Fungi.